AAAACUAGAAGUUGAGGCGUGAGUUUGGCCACUCCGUAGUGUGCACUUGGUGAGGGCAGCAGCUCGCCACAGCUGCCAGCCGUCUGUCCAUUCACCCAUCUGUCCAUCUGGCAGCCCGCUGUUCAGAGCUGUCUGUCUGUCCGCCCAUCUGUAAGCCCAUCUCUGUCCCAUUGUCUAUCUGACCAUCUUUCUCUUACUGUCCUCUUUGUCUAGCUAUCUGGCCUAUCUGUUGAUCCAUCUUCGUGUCUGUCUUCAGCCCCCACCUGUUUGUCCAUCUGUCCAAUUACCUGUGACUCUGUGCAUCUUCUUGUCCAUUCAUCUGCCCACCCAUCCGUCCCUCCGUCUGCCCACCAGCCGCCGCUCUCCUCUGGGCUGCAGAGCCAUGGCCCGGGGCUACGGGGCCACGGUCGGCCUAGUCCUGCUGGGUCUGGGGCUGGCGCUGGCUGUCAUUGUGCUGGCUGUGGUCCUCUCUCAACACCAAGCCUCCUGUGGCCCCCAGGCGUUUGCCCAUGCUGCUGUUGCCGCCGACUCCAAGGUCUGCUCGGAUAUUGGACGGUGAGUGAGAUGUGGGAGGAAGCUGGGUGGCCCUUGGCAGCCAGCCCCUCCUGGAGAAGGCGUGUGUGUGUGUGUGUGAGUGAAUGUAUGUGUGGGUGUGUGUGUGAGUGUGUGGGUGUGAUUGCAUGCGUGUGUGAGUGUGUGGGUAUGUGUGAUUGCAUGCAUGUGUGGGUGUGUGUGAGUGUGUGUGAGUGUGAGUGUGGGGAGUGUGGGUGUGUGUGAAUGUGUAUGAUUGUGUGUGGGUAUGUGUAUGUGAGUGUGUGUGAGUGUGUGUGUGUGCACAUGCACGCACAUGCACUGGCCCAGGAAGCAGGAGCCGUGUGUGUGUGGGCUUCAGCACCUGCAGGGCUUGGGCGCAAGGAGGCAGCCUCAGGGCCCUUGCACAGAACAGGUAGCAGGGUGUACCCGUGGGGCAGAUGGGGACUUGGGGACAAUGGUGGUGUGUGAGUCCACGCCUGGCUCCAGGAUUCAGGAGGCCCAUUUGCACAUCCCAGGUGGGAACCUGACCCUGCUGGCCGGUGCAGGCCCCUUCAGUGAGGCCAAUUCUCCAAGGCUGGGGUCUUCUCCCAGGGUCAUGGGUGAAGGGGUUUGGAGGCUCCCUGCGUGGGUACUGGCCUGCUGGGGUACACACAAUGCUGCCAUAGCCAGUCUGCCCCAACACCCAGCCCGGGGCCACAUCUUGGGUCUCUCAGUCCUGGGGAGCCCGGUGCCCCACCCCUCACAUCCUCUCUCCCUGAGUCAGGGCCUGGGUCUCGUGAGCUGAGUGACUGAUACUUGGUGUCCUGGAUGAGGGCGUGGUGGAGAGGGGCCACAGCGGGUGUUUCCUGACCCUCUUCCAGGAAGCCCAGCCCAAGGGAGGCCUCCGCUGCUGCCGCUGCAGAGGACACAUACAGGAUGCCCCUUCCUGCUCCCUGCCUCCCACUGGGCCCACAAAAGCCAGGGCAAGCCUCCCCUCCCUGCCAGCCACCUGGUCUGCUUCCCAGAAGUUCUGUCUUGCAGGCUGUUGGGAGGAUCCCAGUGCUUUGUAAAUUAAAGCAAGGGAGGAGUGGCCGCUCUCUCUCUCUGUUCAUUCAUUCACCUUUUCAUUCAUUCCUUCUUCCCUCCAUUCCCCCAUCUGUCCAUCCUUCCCUGCCCUGAUUGCUCAUGCCACCCCCCGCCCCUCCUGACCUGGUCCUUUGGUUUCUCUUCAGGGCUUUCUGUCUCCUCCCACAGGGCUGAGAAUGGCAGCUCAGGGACAAGUGGGGGCUGGGGACUGCUUAGUCUCCCCAGUGGCUCUCAGGGGAUUUGAGGGAUUGACGCCAGCUGCCACCCCAGGCUGUGCCCCUCCUCUGCUCAGGAGGACAUACAGGAUGCGACACCCAUUUAAACUCGAAGUUGCAAAGAUGCAAAUGAGACUGGGGUCUCAGGCACCAGAGACCACCCGUGGGCACGUGGCCUUUGGGAGUGGGGACCUGCUGCCACAAAUUUCUGGGUGGAGUCUGGACCUGCUGGGUCUCCCUGAGUGACUGUCUGGGGGUCUCCAUAGCGUGCCCUGCUGUGUGCGUGACGGUCACUGGUUGGGUAGGGGUCUCUACUCUAAAGCGCCCUCUGCCGGCAUCCCCUCGAACUCUCCCUUGGUGAAGAGAGAGGAUGUGGUUUGCCCCAGUGUUUUGUCAAACAACUCUCUCCACUUCCUGUCUUAAGAAGCUGGGAGUGGAAGAGAGCCUGGGGCUGGCCCCAGCUGCUGCUGCGGAACAGGGGUCAUUGGACACUGGGACCCUGGCCGGACUGGCUGGGGGGCCUCAGGAAGAGGCCUGCUGCAGCGUCAUCCUGGCCAAGAUCCCUCCUUGCAGAGGCCCCUGGCCACACUGCCACAGGGUCUGCUGGGGCCACCAGAAGCCCAUGCUCCUGACUCCAUCAUCUCUCCCCUCUGUGCUCACCUCUCACCAGGAGGCCCUCCCAGAGUCCAGUCUCCUGCUCUUUUUUCUGUUUUGUUUUUGAGAUGCUGUUUCGCUCUGUCACCAGGCUGGAGUGCAGUGGCGUGAUCUCGGCUGACUGCAACCUCUGCCUCCUCAGUUCAAAUGAUUCUCCUGCCUCAGCCUCCUGAGUAGCUGGGACUACAGGUGCCAGCCACCACGCCCAGCUAAUUUUUGUAUUUUUAGUAGAGAUGGGGUUUCACCAUGUUAGCCAGGAUGGUCUCCAACUCUAGACCUCGUGAUUCGCCCACCUCCGCCUCCCAAAGUGCUGGGAUUACAGGAGUGAGUCAUGGCGCCCGGCCCCAUCUCCUACUCUUUCUUUCAGCACCAGGUUUUAUUCUUGGGAUUCUGCUACAGCUGGAGCCCCUGGGUGCGAGUUCCUAAGGUUUCUGUGAGUGUGGACCCAGCACCGUGCCUAGUAGACAUACAAAAGGAGCAUGGUGACAGUGAGGUCUGUCAUCUCCAGCAUAAUGACUGUUUUGAUCCUUGUAAAAAAGGUGAUUUUUGGCUGGGUGUGGUGGUUCACACCUGUAAUCCCAGCACUUUGGGAGGCCGAGGGGGGUGGCUCACUUGAGGUCAGGAGUUGGAGACCAGCCUGGGCAACAUGGUGAAACCAUGUCUCUACUAAAAAUACAAAAAUUAGCUGGGCAUGGUAGCGGGUCCCUGUAAUCCCAGCUACUUGGGAGGCUGAGACAGGAGAAUCACUUGAACCCAGGAGGCAAAGGUUGCAGUAAGCCAAGAUUGCGCCACUGCACUCCAGCCUGGGUGACAGAGCAAGACUUGGUCUCAAAAAAAGAAAGAAAGAAAGAAAGAAAAGUUUAUAUUUUUGUUCUAAUGGUUAUCUUAAUAUCUUCAUUCUAUAAUUGUAUGUUUUAUAUAAUUAUAAUAGCUAUAUAAGAUAUAAUACCCCUAGUAUGUUGUUUUUUGGAUAUUCUACUCGCUCCUGAUGGUUAAUUUAUGUGUCAACUUGGCUAAGCUAUGGUGCCCCGUUGUUUGGUCAAAUACUUGUCAAUAUCUUGCUGGGAGGUUAUUUCAUAGAUGUGAUUAACACUGACAGUCAGUUGACUUUGAGUAAAACAGAUUACCCACCAUAAUAUGGGUGGGCCACCUCCAAUCAGUUGAAGGCCUUAAGAACAAAAACUGAGGUUUCCCAGAGAAGCAGGAAUUCUGCUUCAAGACUGUAACACACAAACCCUGCCUGAGUUUCUGGCCUGCUGACUGCUCUACAGAUGUUAGGUUCCAGAAUUCGAGAUCAACUCUUACCUGAAUUUAUAGCCUGCUGGCUUGCCCUACAGAUUUUAAACUUGCUAGUCCCCACAAUCAUGUGAGCCAAUUCCUAAAUAAAUCUCUAUGUAUAACCUAUUGGUUUAGUUUCUCUAAAAAAACUUCUAUAUCCAGUUUCCUGGAUGUUAAGUAAUACUGAAACUAGCUAGUAACCUCGUUUUUUUGUUGUUUUUUUUUUUUUGAGAUGGAGUUUUGUUCUUGUUGCACAGGCUGGAGUACAAUAGCACGAUCUUGGCUCACUGCAACCUCC
RNAcentral lists this small RNA (4044 nucleotides) under Pan troglodytes (chimpanzee). RNAcentral's name for it is "retained intron". The record is from RNAcentral. Lineage: Eukaryota; Metazoa; Chordata; Mammalia; Primates; Hominidae.